RNAcentral lists this ribosomal RNA (588 nucleotides) under uncultured bacterium. Its description in RNAcentral is "partial 16S ribosomal RNA". It matches the Rfam family "Bacterial small subunit ribosomal RNA", at positions 355 to 1375 of the family's 1533-position model. The record is from RNAcentral.
UGGGGAAUUUUUGGACAAUGGGCGAAAGCCUGAUCCAGCAAUGCCGCGUGUGUGAAGAAGGCCUUCGGGUUGUAAAGCACUUUUGUCCGGAAAGAAAUCCUUGGCUCUAAUACAGUCGGGGGAUGACGGUACCGGAAGAAUAAGCACCGGCUAACUACGUGCCAGCAGCCGCGGUAAUACGUAGGGUGCAAGCGUUAAUCGGAAUUACUGGGCGUAAAGCGUGCGCAGGCGGUUUGCUAAGACCGAUGUGAAAUCCCCGGGCUCAACCUGGGAACUGCAUUGGUGACUGGCAGGCUAGAGUAUGGCAGAGGGGGGUAGAAUUCCACGUGUAGCAGUGAAAUGCGUAGAGAUGUGGAGGAAUACCGAUGGCGAAGGCAGCCCCCUGGGCCAAUACUGACGCUCAUGCACGAAAGCGUGGGGAGCAAAACAGGAUUAGAUACCCUGGUAGUCCACGCCCUAAACGAUGUCAACUAGUUGUUGGGGAUUCAUUUCCUUAGUAACGUAGCUAACGCGUGAAGUUGACCGCCUGGGGGAGUACGGUCGCAAGAUUAAAACUCAAAGGAAUUGACGGGGUCAUAGCUGUUUCCU